Molecule: RNA transcript, 5378 nt
Organism: Corythoichthys intestinalis (scribbled pipefish)
Lineage: Eukaryota; Metazoa; Chordata; Actinopteri; Syngnathiformes; Syngnathidae
Gene name: mitogen-activated protein kinase kinase kinase 12-like
Exons: 15
Source: RefSeq, a predicted model, not a curated record
AGCUAGUCAACCUCGCCCCCUGGUCCCAUCUUCUCCCUCCGUUGCUCUCAUCCCUGCCCCUGUUUACUGACUACAACGUGAGCGACGCUCGCCGUAUAUAAUCCCGAGUGUGGCCGCGGAGCAUCCUCAGAGGACGCGAGAUGGAAAAGGAGCUGUGAGGAAGCAAAACAAGCAUUUUUAGGAAGGAAAAAAACGGAUUUAAGCGAGGAGUUGGAGCGACGUCACCGUCAGUGACGGUUGGAUGCAGAGGACGAGGAUGAAACUAGCUUGAUUGAUUUUGGGGGUAAACACACCGUUUACUCGUUUUAUUUUUUUUAUCGUUAUUUGUGCAGUGAAAGAGGAUUUGAUUCCUCGAAUAUGGACGCAAGCUUUAAGCACUGAGGCCACCCGUUCCCCAGUUGUUCCCCCAUGGCCCUCAUACACGAGCCCCGCGCCCCAUCUCCGUCUCUCUCUGGCUUCAACACCCCACUCUCCGAUCCCCCGUCCUUUCGCCGGCUAGAUGCUGAGACGCCUUGCACCCCUGAAAUGGACCUGACGCCGACUCAGUGCGUCCUUCGAAACGUCCUCUCAAUAGACACGGGUGGCACGGUGGAGCCCGGAAGAGGAGGUGGGGACAUGCCAACUCCCGGGCCCCAUCAGACGCCUGGCGAGGAACAACAAGAGCACUUUGCCAACAGCGUCCUCAAGCUGCACGAACAUGACGGCAGUCCCGCCAGGACAGAGGGAGAGGGGACAGAGACUGAUGGCGGCAUGGUGCGGCGUGAGGCGGACAACACUAGGUUGCAGUGUCAGUCCAAUGGAGGCGGCGGUGGCUUUUUGGAAGGCUUGUUCGGCUGUCUGCGACCUGUUUGGACUAUGAUCGGGAAGGCCUACUCCACGGAACACAAACAUGACCUGGACGAAGCGUGGGAAGUCCCCUUCGAGGAAAUAUCGGAUCUACAGUGGGUAGGCAGUGGCGCCCAGGGUGCCGUCUUCCUGGGCAAGCUGCACGGACAGGAAGUGGCCGUGAAGAAAGUUCGGAACAUCAAGGAAACGGACAUCAAGCACCUCCGAAAGCUCAAACACCCCAACAUCAUUACUUUCAAAGGGAUCUGUACGCAAGCGCCAUGUUACUGCAUCCUCAUGGAGUACUGUGCCCAAGGCCAACUGUAUGAGGUGCUGCGAGCGGGUAGGCAGAUCACGCCAUCGCUCCUCAUGGACUGGGCCAUGGGCGUCGCCGGCGGGAUGAACUACCUUCACCUCCACAAGAUCAUCCACAGAGACCUCAAAUCGCCAAAUAUUCUUAUCACGUAUGACGACGCGGUGAAGAUCUCUGAUUUUGGCACGUCUAAGGAGUUGAGCGACAAGAGCACCAAGAUGUCCUUUGCUGGUACGGUGGCCUGGAUGGCCCCCGAGGUCAUACGGAACGAACCCGUCUCUGAGAAGGUGGACAUUUGGUCUUUCGGCGUUGUGCUUUGGGAGAUGCUGACAGGAGAGGUGCCCUACAAGGACGUGGACUCCUCCGCUAUCAUCUGGGGAGUGGGCAACAACAGCUUGCAGCUGCCCGUACCUGACAGCUGCCCCGACAGCUUCAAACUGCUCUUGAGGCAGAGCUGGAAUUGCAAACCAAGAAACAGACCCUCGUUCCGACAGAUUCUCCUGCAUCUUGAUAUUGCUUCGGCGGACAUUUUGUCGACUCCGCAAGAAACCUACUUCCAAUCACAAGCCGAGUGGAGAGAUGAGGUCAGGCAUCACUUUGAGAAGAUCAAGUCAGAGGGCACGUGUCUUCACCGGUUGGAUGAGGAGCUCAUCAAACGCCGCAGGGAGGAACUGAGACAUGCGCUUGACAUCCGGGAGCACUACGAGAGGAAACUGGAGCGAGCCAACAAUCUCUACAUGGAGCUCAACGCCAUCAUGCUGCAGUUGGAACUCAAGGAGAAAGAGCUGCUCAAGAGGGAGCAGUCGCUGGACAAGAAGUACCCGGGCUGCUUCAAGCACCACAGCUCCAGACAAUCGGCCUCCUCCAACUCCAUGGAGAAACUCAUGAAGAAACGCAACGUGCCUCAGAAGCUGCCCGCGCACAGCAAGAGGUCAGUUAAGCCGGACAUACUGAAGUCAGAAGUGAUCCUUCCCAAACUGGACUCGUCCAUGACUCAGGUGACCAUCCCCACCAAGGGCUCCACAUCGCCGGGCCGCUCUCGCCGAGGCAAGCCUCGCUACAGGAAGGCGGGCAAAGGCGGCGGAAACGAGUUGGCUCAGCUCAAGGCCACACUGUCCUCGUCAUUGGCCGCCAUCAGUGCUGGCACCGGCAAGCAGCGCCUGGACCCCGGCGCCGCACUCAGGGGCCUGCGUCACGACUUGCUGCUCAAGAAGAUGUCGUCCUCCAGCCCUGACCUCAUCUCCACCACGCUGGAAGCGGAGGAGCGCCGCAAGGGCCGGCCCGGACCCGGCCUGGACCGGGCGGGCAGCCGGAGCGCCUCGGCCGGGCUAGAGGAAGACGGCCCGGACCCUGGCCCCGACACUGGCGGGGAAGAACUGGCGGAAACGCCCCCGCGCAGUGACACGCCCAGCGAAGACGCCGCCUCCGUCCCGUUCGUUAGCAGCCCCGACUCGCCCUGCGGCAGGGGGGCGGCGGCUGCGAGGCCCCCGUCCACCGGAUCGCCCCGCGUUCCACAGGACGGCGAGGAAAAGGAGGAGGGUGUCGUCAUCACGCGUUCGCCUAGAAGUCAGCGACUCACGCCGUCGGCGCUGCUCUACAGGGCGGCCGUCACGCGUAGUCAGAGGCGCGGCGUGUCCUCCGAAGAGGAAGAAGGCGAGGUGGACAGCGAAGUGGAGCUGCCAACAAGAUGGAGGCCGGCAAGUAUGAGCAAGUGCCAGUCGCUGUCCACGUUCAGCUCGGAGAACCUUUCCGUGUCGGACGGCGAGGAAGGCAACACCACAGAACGCUCGCACAGCGGCACUCCCGAUGCAGUCAGCACCAACACGGACGAGCGUCUGGACGACAAGAGUGACGACCUCCUCUCACAAGGAUCCGAAAUACCCGCCGACCCCUCCGACCCGGCUCGCCGCGCCGCCUCCGACGGUCUCUCUGAGAAGGAAGCCGCCGUGCGACGCGUCCGGACGCAGCUAGCCGGACACGAGCUCAACGACGACGUUCUCUAUGAUGACUCAGACUGCGACAGCGCCGAGCUGGACCAACCGGGCUGCGUGGAGCCCAGCCAGAACUGGUGAAAUGAAAAAACGGCCCAAACCGGAUCAAAGAUAGGCUUUGUCGAUCACCUCGUCAACACGCACUGGCGGAGGUGCAGUAGGAAGGAGGGAGUAGGAAGAAAGUUCUUGGUCGUGUGCAGAUGACUGAGGUAUUGCUCGUGUCGCGUUCAAGAACCGCUCGGAUUUCUAGACACCAGCCACCUUGCUGUCCGCGACAAUGUGGACCCCAGCACGUCUACUGUAUUUGAUUAGACCUGUCAAGUGUCUAUAUACACACAAGUGCCCCUUCUAUUUUAUCCAUAUGUGAUGACCGCCAAUCCUCCCCCUGUGUUUUAUUCCUACACAUUGAGGACAGCAAGGUGGCUGAUGGCUAGAAAUCCGAGCAGUUCUUGAACGUUCUUGAGUUCAGUUCUUGAGCUCUCCAACAGCGCCAAGGUGCCACGCAAGCUUAAAAGUCAUCUCCAAACGAAACACCCAUCGCUUCAAAACAAGUUGAUGGACUAUUUUGUUCGCCUUUGUGAAAAAGAGAAACAGGCAAUUUUUUUUUUUUUUUUCUUAGAAAAACUACAAAGGUAAAUUAGAAAGCUCUCAAAGCCAGUUACCUUGUUACUGAACUUGUUGCUUAAUUUAAAAAGUCCCAUUUGGCAGAGAAAUUAAUACUACCUGCCUACAAAGUAAUUUUCAGCAAGAUGCACGGCCCUGAUGCAGUUCAAGACAUAGUUAAAGUCCCCCUGUCUUAUAAUUCUGAGCUUUUCAAGCCGAACUGCUAUAAAAAAUAAAACCAGAGUGAGACUGAGAGCUGUUGAAGAAGAUUAUCGGCUUUGUGUUCAUCUAAACAGACUCAAGUUUCGCACUGUGUAAAUAUAAAUACAGAGAAAUUAUUUUUUUUCAUUAAAUACACUGUACAGAAAGUAAUUUUGGAACAUUUUUGAUCUGUGGUGUGCUGUGAGAUUUUUUCCAAUGUAAAAACGUGUCGUGACACAGAAAAGGUUGAAAAACACUGAUUUAUCAUACUGACCAGUGUUGUUUUUGGCAGCCAUUUUAAUUGUUGUAUUAAUCUUAGUCUUUUGGACAAAAAUACUUAUUAGUCUUAGUCAUAAUUAAGUCAUUUCCAAAUGUUUUCAUCUCCAUCAAGUUUUAGUCAACGAAAUGUCAAACAGUCGACAAGUACUCAAAAUUUUUUCGUCUUUAAAAUUCAAAGGUUUUUGUCCAAAAAUGAAUAAAGGUUUCCAACCAUUUCGUAUCUACAUACUACAUAGACAGAUGAGCACAUAUUGUAGCGUCUACAAGGACAAUACCAACUUUGGGGUUAGGCAUGUGCCGGUAUGAGAUUCUGACGGUAUGAUAAUUUUAAACCAAAAUAUCACAGUGUUACAAUUACAGUUCUAAAAUGUGCUACUUUGAGAUAUCUGGGGUUUAAAAAAAGAAAAAAAAAUCCAUUGAACAGGAUUUUUAUUUUUCAAAACAUACCAGCAAACUGGAACAUAAAUAUAAUGUUAAAUUAAAAUAAAUGGGAAAAAAAAAUCCAAAUAAAAUAAAUGCAGUCCUUUAGAUGAGCCUAAACCCACAGCCACAGUUCAACAGUAUUACCAUCAGAACAAAUACAAUUGAAUUAUUUUCCAUAAAAAGCACAUGUGUAUGACUUGUAUCAUGUUUACAUUAUACACACACUCUCUUUCUCAACACAGACAGUUGCCAGAGAGAAAAAAACACCACGUUUUACCACCGGUAGCCACACUAAACACUAGGAGUGGGAACCUCGUGUUACCUCACGAUACGAUACGAUUUGCGAUACAGACCUCACGAUAACGAUGAUCUGAUGAUAUGGUGAUACAACGAUUAUCGAUAGACUGGUCAGGAAAUCAUUCUAGGAUAUUCUACAAACAACUAAUACAAAGAAAAACAAGCUUCUGCUGUGAAUUGGAAUGAUGCAUUUUUGGGACAUAAAAAAUAGCAAAUACCGCUGGGAGAAGUGUUCCGAGCAUGUCCCACCGGCGGGAGGCCCCGGGGACGAUCCAGGACACGCUGAAUAGACUAUGUCUCUCGGCUGGCCUGGGAACGCCUUGGGAUCCCGCUUGAAGAGCUGGUUGAAGUGGCUGGGGUGAGGAAAGUCUUGGCUUCCCCCUUAAAGCUGCUGCCCUUCCGACCCGACCCUGGAUUAAGCGAAAGUGGAUGGAUGGAUGGAUGGA